Molecule: ribosomal RNA, 254 nt
Filed under: uncultured bacterium
Lineage: Bacteria
Description: partial 16S ribosomal RNA
Rfam family: Bacterial small subunit ribosomal RNA
Source: RNAcentral
UACGAAGGGGGCUAGCGUUGCUCGGAAUUACUGGGCGUAAAGCGCACGUAGGCGGCUUUCUAAGUCGGGGGUGAAAUCCUGGAGCUCAACUCCAGAACUGCCUUCGAUACUGGAGAGCUUGAGUCCGGGAGAGGUGAGUGGAAUUGCGGAGUGUAGAGGUGAAAUUCGUAGAUAUUCGCAGGAACACCAGUGGCGAAGGCGGCUCACUGGUCCGAUACUGACGCUGAGACGCGAAAGCGUGGGGAGCGAACAGG